AAAGUCGGAUCGUGCUUGAGUUAAGACGUUUGUUUAAAGCCAGCAUUGGUAAGUGGCAAGUGCGGGACAAAAACUGAGCCGAAGGAAAAGAGAAAAAAGGUAACUAAAUGAAGUGAGGUACAGUGGUGCAAUGUGAAAUUAAAGUACGAAAAUUAAAAAUUGCUUUUGAAAUUAUUUUUAAAUAUUCGGUGACCGUAGUAUGUCGCGUGUGACUUGUGGCAAUACAAGCAAAAAUAACAACAGCAACAACUACAAUACAUGUACUAAUGCAUAUAAGCAAGUGAACCAACAAAAUUAUGCUGUGUUUUUUUCCAAUUAAAAACAAAAACCAAUGCUAACUAAAUUAAGUGUGUUAAGUUUUCUUCAGAGUUUUGUACUCAAGUGAAAAGUAUUUAAAAUCUUUGCGUGAAAAAUUGUUUAACUACAUAAAUACAUCGAACAUUUACCUUCAUACAUACUAUGUAUGUAUGUAUGUGAUUGUGCGUGCUUAAAUCACCAGCUAAUCUCACUGCGUUUUUUUCGAAAACGUUCGUAUUGUAGUUGUGCUCCAAAGCAGAUGAGCAUGCAUUUGUGUUAUUCAUUGACUUGAACGUUGUUUGCUGUUAGUAAACUUUUUUCUUCGCUUGUUGCUGCUGUACCACUUGCAGCCUAUUCCUUUGGCAUUUGCUGCAAGCGUAGUUCGUCUGCGCGUAUGUGGAUUAGUUUGGCUGAUAUUUACCGCCGCUACCGCUGUUGCCGUUGCUGUAACGAGACGCGCCUAUAAAGUGAAGCAUGGAGAGGAAUAGCAGUGAAAUCGAGCAAGCAUGAAUGCUUACGAAGCAGCUGUAGACAAGAAAUUUUAAGUAAAAAAAAAAAAAAAACGAAAAUUAAAAACUAGUUGGCUAGUAAAACUGUCACGCACGCAAAUAUACAAAACUACAUACAUAUAUUCUUCUGAUUGGUGAUGCGUCGAAAAGUCGAGGCAUAUACUAGCAACGCACUGCGACUAAGAGAUGCAGCGACGCCUGUAAUGACACUUACAAAGGCGAGAAAACGAAAAUUCCUCAAAAGCCAAAAUUCCUCACUAGCGAGUAGAAUCACAAUGAAGACGACAAGUUGGCCACUUUCAAUGGCCAAGAUGCAACACAGCAUGCCGACGAGUACUGUACGGUGGUUGGGCUUGUUGACGCUGCUGCUGCUGCUGCUGCUGGCAACACGUA
Molecule: long non-coding RNA, 1199 nt
Organism: Rhagoletis zephyria (snowberry fruit fly)
Lineage: Eukaryota; Metazoa; Arthropoda; Insecta; Diptera; Tephritidae
Source: RefSeq, a predicted model, not a curated record